RNAcentral lists this ribosomal RNA (701 nucleotides) under Oxystomina sp. 1 LM-2017. Its description in RNAcentral is "SSU rRNA". It matches the Rfam family "Eukaryotic small subunit ribosomal RNA", at positions 136 to 924 of the family's 1831-position model. The record is from RNAcentral. Lineage: Eukaryota; Metazoa; Nematoda; Enoplea; Enoplida; Oxystominidae.
CACUUGGAUAACUGUGGUAAUUCUAGAGCUAAUACACGCAGAAGGAGUGCCUUUAUUAGAACAAAGCCAAUCUUGGUGAAUCUGAAUAACCCAUGGUCAUUGCACCGGCGACGCAUCUUUCAAGUGUCUGCCUUAUCAACUUUCGAUGGUAGUUUACACGCCUACCAUGGUUGUAACGGGUAACGGAGAAUCAGGGUUUGAUUCCGGAGAGGGAGCCUGAGAAACGGCUACCACAUCCAAGGAAGGCAGCAGGCACGCAAAUUACCCACUCCCGGAGGGGAGGUAGUGACGAAAGAUAACGAGGUAGUCCUCUACACCAUCGGAAUGGGUACAAUUUAAAUCCUUUAACGAGGAACUAUUGGAGGGCAAGUCUGGUGCCAGCAGCCGCGGUAAUUCCAGCUCCAAUAGCGUAUAUUAAAGUUGUUGCGGUUAAAAAGCUCGUAGUUGGAUCUGCCAGGAGAGCGGUCCCCCAACGGGUGCGUUUUCUGGUUGCCCUUGCUGCUCUUGAUUGAGUGGCUGGGUGGCUGGAAGUUUUACUUUGAAAAAAUUAGAGUGCUUAAAGCAGACGAAUUGUCUGAAUAGUGGUGCAUGGAAUAAUGGAAUAGGAGGUUCUAUUUUGUUGGUUUUAAGAGCUCAAGGUAAUGAUUAGUAGGGACAGACGGGGGCAUUCGUAUUGCGACGUUAGAGGUGAAAUUCUUGGA